UACGAAGGGGGCUAGCGUUGCUCGGAAUCACUGGGCGUAAAGGGCGCGUAGGCGGCCUGGCAAGUCGAUGGUGAAAGCCCGAGGCUCAACUUCGGGUCGGCCACUGAUACUGCUAGGCUUGAGUCGACUAGAGGCAGAUGGAAUUCCGGGUGUAGCGGUGGAAUGCGUAGAGAUCCGGAAGAACACCGGUGGCGAAGGCGGUCUGCUGGGGUCGAACUGACGCUGAGGCGCGACAGCGUGGGGAGCAAACAGG
RNAcentral lists this ribosomal RNA (253 nucleotides) under uncultured prokaryote. RNAcentral describes it as "partial 16S ribosomal RNA". It matches the Rfam family "Bacterial small subunit ribosomal RNA", at positions 524 to 776 of the family's 1533-position model. The record is from RNAcentral.